Molecule: long non-coding RNA, 754 nt
Filed under: Solanum tuberosum (potato)
Lineage: Eukaryota; Viridiplantae; Streptophyta; Magnoliopsida; Solanales; Solanaceae
Description: long non-coding RNA (STUB_LNC003297)
Source: RNAcentral
UGGUAAUUGAUCUAUGGAUCUGAUGAGUAAAUCUUUUCUCAAUCAGUUUUGUUUUGGCUUUGGAUAUCAGAAAGUCAGAUUACCCUGAAUUUCGUAUUAUCUUUCUUUCACUUGUGAUGUAACAUAGACAAUUGAAAGAAAGAUCUGUUCUCAGAUUUUACCUCAUGGCAUUGCUUUAUCCUCCUUUAUUAAUUUAGGUAUAUGUUUUGUACAAGAAUACCAAGUAUUUUGGCUCUUUUAAUUUUUUUUAUCCUUUUUAAUUUUUGAAACCAAAAAUAAUAAUAAGUCAAGAAACAAUCGUACAUUCCUACUGUCUGAUAGAGAUGUUAGCUAUCUUACUAAACUAAAAGUAACUUUUGGCUAAAAUGGUUCGGGACAUCUUUGUAGUUACCUCUUUUUCUUCAAUUUCUUUUGACUUGCCAGGUACUGGUAAUCGAGAAAUUUUAUUUUGUGUUUCACAUCACUUCCAUAUGUUCUGUGAGGAACUUUAAUUGCUUAACAAGUGACUUGUUUUACCAUUUCUUUAGUUGAAGAAAGAAUCAAUAAAGGUAAUUUAAAAGUUUCCAAAGUAAGGCACUCUACUAGGACCCAAAAAAUCAAUGAUAUGCAUACCCCUAGGCGUGAAUACUGAAUAACACAUGCUUUUCUCUUUUUCAUGGCUGAGAUGGAGUUGUAUUACUGUUCAACCUUACUAAAAGAUGCUUAUGGUUGAUGGUGCUUUGUAUGAACUUACAUGGCUUUUCUACUUAUGCUU